Molecule: ribosomal RNA, 395 nt
Filed under: Penaeus stylirostris (blue shrimp)
Lineage: Eukaryota; Metazoa; Arthropoda; Malacostraca; Decapoda; Penaeidae
Description: partial 16S ribosomal RNA
Rfam family: Bacterial large subunit ribosomal RNA
Source: RNAcentral
GUGCGAAGGUAGCAUAAUCAUUAGUCUCUUAAUUGGAGGCUUGUAUGAAUGGUUGGACAAAAAGCAAACUGUCUCAAUUAUAUUUAUUGAAUUUAACUUUUAAGUGAAAAGGCUUAAAUAACUUAAGGGGACGAUAAGACCCUAUAAAGCUUUACAAUAAGUUAUCUAUAUUAUAAAUUGUUAGUAUAACUUGAUUUUAGAUAAUAUUUGUUGCGUUGGGGCGACGGGAAUAUAAUGAGUAACUGUUCUUAAGCUAUUUAAUAACAGGAAUUUCUGGAAAAUUAAUGAUCCUCUUUUAGAGAUCAUAAGAUUAAGUUACUUUAGGGAUAACAGCGUAAUCUUCUUUGAGAGUCCAUAUCGACAGGAAGGGUUGCGACCUCGAUGUUGAAUUAAGG